GUGCUCACUUUGGCAGCACAUAUACUAAAAUUGGAAUGAUACAGAAAAAAUUAACAUGACCCUUUGCAAGAAUGACAAGAAAAAAAAGAAAAAAACCCUUCAAGAUG
Small nuclear RNA from Sorex fumeus (smoky shrew), 107 nucleotides. Lineage: Eukaryota; Metazoa; Chordata; Mammalia; Eulipotyphla; Soricidae. The record is from RefSeq and is a predicted model, not a curated record.